Non-coding RNA from Cinara cedri, 201 nucleotides. Lineage: Eukaryota; Metazoa; Arthropoda; Insecta; Hemiptera; Aphididae. The record is from the annotation of a GenBank genome assembly.
CCGUCUUCGAAAACCCGGGACACACACACACACGCUGUAUUUUAUUCGAUAAUAUUUCCAAAUCGCCUGUGCUAUUUUUAUUUCUCAAUAAUUACGCCGUCUCAACCACCGAUUGCGGGAAACCGCUAGUGGAAAAUAAUCCUACCGUUAUGUAAGGUACACUAAUACAGUAAUUGUAUAAUCGUGAUCAACAAUUUUUCA